AGCAAAGUCUGAGAGGUUGUGU
Molecule: non-coding RNA, 22 nt
Filed under: Rattus norvegicus (Norway rat)
Lineage: Eukaryota; Metazoa; Chordata; Mammalia; Rodentia; Muridae
Source: RNAcentral